UACGUAGGGGGCAAGCGUUGUCCGGAUUUAUUGGGCGUAAAGAGCGUGUAGGCGGCCAUGCAGGUCCGUUGUGAAAACUCGAGGCUCAACCUCGAGACGCCGAUGGAAACCGCAUGGCUAGAGUCCGGAAGAGGAGAGUGGAAUUCCUGGUGUAGCGGCGAAAUGCGCAGAUAUCAGGAAGAACACCCGUGGCUAAGGCGGCUCUCUAGUACGGUACUGACGCUGAGACGCGAAAGCGUGGGGAGCGAACAGG
Molecule: ribosomal RNA, 253 nt
Filed under: uncultured bacterium
Lineage: Bacteria
Description: partial 16S ribosomal RNA
Rfam family: Bacterial small subunit ribosomal RNA
Source: RNAcentral